Long non-coding RNA from Arvicola amphibius (Eurasian water vole), 636 nucleotides. RefSeq lists it as uncharacterized. The record is from RefSeq and is a predicted model, not a curated record. The transcript has 2 exons. NCBI's taxonomy places the organism in Eukaryota, Metazoa, Chordata, Mammalia, Rodentia, Cricetidae.
ACUAGCAGAAAGCCAAGCAGCAGCUGCUGGUGCUACCCCUCUCCCAUGGCUGAGCCCAGGUUUCUUCUGAUGCAAGGGGCCUUACCAGUCUCUUACCUAGUAGUCCCUCAUACAGAUAGACUCGCUGGCUUACGUCUUCAGAAGAGCGAAUUGGACUGCCAGCCAACUUCUCCUUUGGCUUCAAGCUAUGGGCUUUACCCUAGAAAGACAAGGUGUCAAACAGCUGCCCCCAACCCCCUUAUGAGAUGAGUGACAUUCUGUGCACACACCUGAGAGUCAAGCCGACCCGAGACUAAGAACAGCCUCCAAGGGAAGGAGCCCUUCCAAGAAGACACCCACACCUCGCCCACAAAGAAGCCAAUGUGGUAUCCCCCUACCACGGUGCUAACUUCAGAAUCCUGACUUGAGCUUCGGACCAUAACAGCUGGACUCACACCAACGACCGAGUCUUGAUCAGUCCUCUGAAAUGAGGCAAAGGAACACCUAUAUUGCUUCUAGAAAGAUCCUGAGCAAUGAGUUCUUUUCUUAGCUGGAAUAUAUGUAACUUAUACAAUGAAAUACCGCAUUAAAUAAAUACAUACUCACUAUGGAAAACAAAAGAAAGAAUAAAGAAAUAAGAAUAAGCCAUAAAUCUAC